RNAcentral lists this unclassified non-coding RNA (575 nucleotides) under Ralstonia solanacearum. Its description in RNAcentral is "partial contains 16S-23S ribosomal RNA intergenic spacer and 23S ribosomal RNA". The stretch from base 40 to 113 matches the Rfam family "tRNA". The record is from RNAcentral. Lineage: Bacteria; Pseudomonadati; Pseudomonadota; Betaproteobacteria; Burkholderiales; Burkholderiaceae.
GGCGUCCACACUUAUCGGUUUGUUUGAUGUUACAGCCAAGGGUCUGUAGCUCAGGUGGUUAGAGCACCGUCUUGAUAAGGCGGGGGUCGUAGGUUCAAGUCCUACCAGACCCACCAAGUUAUGGACGGUGGAAGUCUCUGCCGUGACUGGGGGAUUAGCUCAGCUGGGAGAGCACCUGCUUUGCAAGCAGGGGGUCGUCGGUUCGAUCCCGUCAUCCUCCACCAAUACCUUGUGGUUGCCAAACGCAAGCAUCGAGUUUUCGGUGUUUGCGUUUGGCAUUGCCAAGACGAGUAAUAACUCGGCUGUUCUUUAACAAUAUGGAAUGUAGUAAAGGUGUCGCGGAGCAUUGAUGAGAUGCUCGCAAAAACGCGACAUUGGGUUGUGAUUGUAUCAACCAGUAUUACGAGUGAUCGAAAGACCGCUUGGAAUACGGCACAACGCGAGAACUCAGCCUAUAUCGAGACAUACUCGUUAUAGGGUCAAGCGAAUAAGUGCAUGUGGUGGAUGCCUUGGCGAUCACAGGCGAUGAAGGACGCAGUAGCUUGCGAAAAGCUGCGGGGAGCUGGCAAACGAGC